GAUGAACGCUGGCGGCGUGCCUAAUACAUGCAAGUCGAGCGAACGGACGCUAAUCUUGCUUCUCUGAUGUUAGCGGCGGACGUGUGAGUAACACGUGUAUAACCUACCUAUAAUUCUGGUAUCACUUCGGGAAACCGGCUCUAAUACCGUAUAAUCUUUUGCUCCGCAUGGUUCAAAAGUGAAAUACGGUCUUUCUGUCACUUCUAGAUGGUUCAGCGCUGCAUUAGCUAGUUGUUAAGGUAACGGCUUACCAAGGCGACGAUGCGUAGCCGACAUGAGAGGGGGAUAGGCGACACUGGAAGGGAGACACGGUCAAGGCUACUACGGGAGGCAGCAGUAGGGAAUCUGAGGCAAUGGGCGAAAGCAUGACGGAGCAAGGCCGCGUGAGUGAUGAAGGUGUUCGGAGCGGAAAAAUCUGUUAUGAGGGAAGAACAGAUGUGGAAGGAAAUGUGGACAGAUUGACGGUACCUAAUAAGAAAGCAACGGCUAACUACGUG
Molecule: ribosomal RNA, 497 nt
Filed under: uncultured bacterium
Lineage: Bacteria
Description: partial 16S ribosomal RNA
Rfam family: Bacterial small subunit ribosomal RNA
Source: RNAcentral